This 388-nucleotide ribosomal RNA is filed under the name uncultured bacterium. RNAcentral describes it as "bacterial SSU rRNA". It matches the Rfam family "Bacterial small subunit ribosomal RNA", at positions 28 to 417 of the family's 1533-position model. The record is from RNAcentral.
GACGAACGCUGGCGGCGUGCUUAACACAUGCAAGUCGAGCGGUAAGGCCCUUUCGGGGGUACACGAGCGGCGAACGGGUGAGUAACACGUGGGUGACCUGCCCUUAGCUCUGGGAUAGGCCUGGGAAACUGGGUCUAAUACCGGAUAUGACUCCAUGACGCAUGUUGUGGGGUGGAAAGCCUUGUGCGGCUAGGGAUGGGCCCGCGGCCUAUCAGCUUGUUGGUGGGGUGAUGGCCUACCAAGGCGACGACGGGUAGCCGGCCUGAGAGGGCGACCGGCCACACUGGGACUGAGACACGGCCCAGACUCCUACGGGAGGCAGCAGUGGGGAAUCUUGCGCAAUGGGCGAAAGCCUGACGCAGCGACGCCGCGUGAGGGAUGACGGCCU